Molecule: ribosomal RNA, 254 nt
Filed under: uncultured bacterium
Lineage: Bacteria
Description: partial 16S ribosomal RNA
Rfam family: Bacterial small subunit ribosomal RNA
Source: RNAcentral
UACGAAGGGGGCUAGCGUUGUUCGGAAUUACUGGGCGUAAAGCGCACGUAGGCGGAUAUUUAAGUCAGGGGUGAAAUCCCAGAGCUCAACUCUGGAACUGCCUUUGAUACUGGGUAUCUUGAGUAUGGAAGAGGUUAGUGGAAUUGCGAGUGUAGAGGUGAAAUUCGUAGAUAUUCGCAGGAACACCAGUGGCGAAGGCGGCUAACUGGUCCAUAACUGACGCUGAGGUGCGAAAGCGUGGGGAGCAAACAGGG